Ricinus communis (castor bean) is the source of this 1135-nucleotide long non-coding RNA. RefSeq lists it as uncharacterized. The transcript has 2 exons. The record is from RefSeq and is a predicted model, not a curated record. NCBI's taxonomy places the organism in Eukaryota, Viridiplantae, Streptophyta, Magnoliopsida, Malpighiales, Euphorbiaceae.
GAUUGCUGUUAUUUUUUUAAUAGAAUUAUCUUAUUUCAAACUGAAAGAGUCAUUUUUAAAGAAAGAAAAAUCAAAGUAGAAUUGUAUUGCAUAAAACAUAAAGUACAAAAGACAAUAUUUUAAAUAGACAAAACAAAGGGGUGGAUAAAAAGCUAAAUAAGAAAAAGGUAGUGGCCAAAACAAAUGAGUUGUGAAAUCAGCUAUCAAAUUUGAGCACUCCAUCGUCUCAUAUAAUAAUAAAGAUAUCAAAUUUUAAUAUAUAUCUUCAAUCUUACAAUUUAAUGGUGAAAAAAAAAAAACAAAGAGGCAAAGCAAAUUCGCCAAUAAAACGGCACAAAACAUCGCAGUUUGUCUACUUUAUACUAUUGUCUCUUACCAAAAGUUGAAACUUGGAAACUGAAAGAGGCAAAAGAAGAGCUUGCAAAAUCUGAGAAUUUACUAAAGCUAAAGGCCAAUUUAGAAAAAGAGAUCACAUCCAACAGAGGAAUUAGAAGGAACAAAAAAAUUCCCUAGAUGAAGCUCUUAUAUGGUCAGUAAAAAAACACACACCAAAGAAAUAAGAGAAGAAAAAAAGGCUAAAGAAGAUGAGAGCGUCGUUGUUGCCGACAAAAUCAUCUGCAACGACAACAGACAAAGGUCGAAAAGUGCAGCCGUAGAUAGAAAAUACAAUAUGAAGUGAGAGAGUGCACAAGGAUUCAGAAACUACCAAAUCCCAUUAUGGCAACAACAUCAGGAUCAAUGUCGACUUCCUCUUCUCAGUUGCCUUUCUCUUUCUUUUAAUAUUGCUCUCUUUUUCUUCUGUUGUUGCCACCACCACCGUGAGUGUCACCAUCUGAUCUAAAAAGGUCUGACUUCUCUCUCCCUGUUUCUACAUUUUUCGACGAUCAAAGAUAAGAAACGGGCCGUUGGAUAGCUGUAGAGGACGAGGGAAAGAUCUAGCUGCCGUUUAAUGGUGAUUGGUGGUGGAAACAGCGGUGAAUGGUGACUACAAGUGGUGGCGGCGCUGAUAUGUGCUGGGAGAGGAAGAGAGAGAGAAGGAGGGACCUGGAAAGGAAUUUACUGUAAUGGAAAAAUCCCUUAGGUCCCUAAAUGAAAAAUAAUGCGACAAUGAAAUUCAAUUUUAACAUUUUGUUCA